UCUCUAUUUGCCUUUUUUUUUUUUUCUCCUCAGCUGCAUCUUGGUAAAGAAGACAUAGGGCAUAUUUUGAGCCUUUAUUUGUCGAGAAGAUAAAAGAAAUGCACGUCACUGAGAAACUGGUCCUUCAGUGCUAUUCCAGACAAGGAUGUAAUUCUUCCCAGCAUAUAACAGAUGACAGUGUGGUUUACAGUUUCACUUACCAGCCCUCUGAUUUGGUUGAAGUGACACCUCGAUCUGAUCCAGCAAUUGAGUCUUCACACCAUGCCCCUGGGCAUAUGAUACACGUGUAAGAAAAAAGCAGGAGGAGGAAAUGAAAAGAAUGUCCUGUAAAGUGAACAUGAAAAUACGUUGAAAAGAAACUCUGGAGAGAGCUAGUGAACAGUAUAAGGCAAGCAUAGUAACUGAAAAGUGUGUGAUUCUAUGGCUCUGCUGGUACGUAUUCUCAGCCUGUAGAACCCUCUUCCUGGGAUGGCCUGGUGCAUGCCAUCAAGCAUUCUUACAGCUAACCUUCAGCGUGAGUUUAUGUGAGGGCCAACAGAGCUGCACACAAAGGCUGGAAAAGAAUUUGAGGUAUGGUAAUUUUUUUUAAUACAUUUUGGCUUCGUUGUGGUUGAUAUUUUUCCUGUCGUCUUUUGAUUAUGUGCAU
Molecule: long non-coding RNA, 646 nt
Filed under: Struthio camelus australis
Lineage: Eukaryota; Metazoa; Chordata; Aves; Struthioniformes; Struthionidae
Description: lncRNA (ENSSCUG00000002720.1)
Source: RNAcentral